This 259-nucleotide ribosomal RNA is filed under the name uncultured bacterium. RNAcentral describes it as "partial 16S ribosomal RNA". It matches the Rfam family "Bacterial small subunit ribosomal RNA", at positions 524 to 779 of the family's 1533-position model. The record is from RNAcentral.
UACGAAGGGUGCAAGCGUUACUCGGAAUUACUGGGCGUAAAGGCGUGCGCAGGCGGUGAUGUAAGACAGAUGUGAAAUCCCCGGGCUCAACCUGGGACCCUGCAUUUGUGACUGCAUCGCUAGAGUACGGCAGAGGGGAUGGAAUUCCGGCGUGUAGCAGUGAAAUGCGUAGAUAUGCGGAGGAACACCGAUGGCGAAGGCAAUCCCCUGGGCCUGUGACUGACGCUCAUGCACGAAAGCGUGGGGAGCAAACAGGAUU